UAACUUUUAUUUAUUAUUUUAAUAUUUAAAAAUAUGAAAUGAUUUAUUUUUUUAGUUUUUUUAAUAUUUUAAUAAUUUUUUAAUAGAAUGUGGGUCUGGAUCAAGCCACAUCAGCAUUUAACUGACAAAUUAACGGCAGGCUAACGGAAGAUAUAACAUUGGUACAAAUUCGUAAGAUGAGGUAUGACAUUGUUAAUUUUAAAAGAUGAGGUAUGAAAGUGUCGUAACAUCAAUAGUUGAGGUAAUUUGUUGUACUUUACCUUAAUUUUUAUCUUUGUAAUCUUACAUAUUUAUUUCCAAUUUUGUAGAUGUCGCAGCUCAUUAGAAGCCAGAAGGCGAUGACAACUACACCUUGUCCGAUGACUACACCUUUUACUGUUGUCAUAAUUGCUGCGGCAGAGAUGGACCAUAGGCCAGUGAAUCCAAUUGACCCAGUUGGUCCCUGAGUCCCACAGACACUGGAGUCUUCGACUUCUUCAGUGACGCUACCUUUUAGCGCCUAACGUGAUCAUUAGUGCCCCCGCACUCCGGAGCAAAUGUCGCCAUCAGGAUCCACAACCAAUGCCUCGAGUUCAUAGCCAGAAAAACACCCGAGGACCUUGUCGGCAAUUGAAGACGGCGAAGGUCACCCGGAUGACCAACAACCAUAUCACAAUCAGAUACGGUGAGCGACAUCGGGCUACACCAACUACGGAGCAGCAUAGCACAUUGGCCUAAGACAUUAGGCAUGUCAUUCGGACCUUUUGUCCUAUGUGGUGGAAGUCUUGGAAGGCAAUACCAGACGAGGUGAAGAACAUGGUGCGCAAUCAUUUAUCGACAAACUACAAUUUUGAUAACAUUUACAAGGACAUGUAGGCGUACCUCAAUCGACUCUUCUCCGAACUGUACAAGCAGUGGAAGAGUGACCUACACUAGUAUUUCGAGAUGCUUGAUGAUCUGCAGGUUGCUCUCGAGGAGGGUUGCCCGAAUGAGUUUGAGGAAUGGGAAGAUAGCUGGGUUUGGCUCUGUGGUCAUUUUCAGGAGCUGGGCUAUGUGGUCCCUUUUUAAAUAUGACUUAUUUCAUUUUACUUUUUGAAAUUUUUACUAAUGUUUAUUAAUUUUUGUAUAUUUUCUUUAAAUAUUACAACUAAUAUGUUUAUUUUGUGUAUAACAGAAGAAGGCGAAGGCAAACAAGAUCAAUCGGGAGAAAAAAGACUAUUCUCCACCAUUCGGGUUCAAGACCCUUCUCAUAUAGGGGGGUUCAAAAUUCCCUAAGAUAGACAUCUUUGCUAACGUUUAUGUUCAGCCCGGGGAUGAGUUGGCCGAGUCCCUUCAUAAGACUAUGGUGGAGAAGAGCCAGUCGGUUAUUCACGAGUCCGCCUCCCAGCUCCCCCCAGCCACGUCGAUCGAAUCUGUGGAUCCCUCCGAGGAUGUGGGUUUCUCAUCCUUACAAAGACCUUGGACCAGACCUUUGGUCGGAGGCUAGGAUGUAUUGCCGGGGGAUAGGGAAUGCCAGGCAACGGGAGAGUGGAGCCUCUUCAUCCUUACAGUCGAAGGGUGAGGUUACAGCUUUGACACAAGAAGUCGUUGGCCUGAGGACUGAGCUUGCAUCGUACAAAACUCAGAUGUCAUUCAUCGUACAUGCCCUAAGUUCCUCCGGGAUCCGUCCCCCCGAUUUUUCUGCACCAUCAACAUCAGAGCCCCUCCACCCUAAACAUACCUAGCAAUUAGAUCUGUCGGCCCCCGACCCCGUCCCUAACCCCAACCCCUUCCACCAAGCACUUCCGAACGACUUGCUCAUAGAUUAUGCUGCAUUUUUUUCUUUUUUCUUUUUUUUCCCGCUUUCUAUUUAAACUUUGUAGUUGUACAUACAUUUUUAUUUAUUUAUAUUAUAAAUAAAUUAUUUUUUUAUUCAUUAAUUUUUUUUUUUCCAAUUGUAUUAAAUAUUUUUUUUAUUAAAUUCUAUUUAUUCUAUCGUGCGAUGAAAGCCUUCGUUUGUACACAUUUCUUGCAACGAGCAAUAAAACGUCGCGCAAUCGUUUUGCCGCACUUUGUUGCGCAAAGUCUUUCUUCACAACCUUUGCGCGACAAUUUCUGCAUCGCCAUAAGUUUUGUGCAACCUGGAAAUGCUUUGCACAACAAAUACUCCC
Pyrus x bretschneideri (Chinese white pear) is the source of this 2129-nucleotide long non-coding RNA. RefSeq lists it as uncharacterized. Lineage: Eukaryota; Viridiplantae; Streptophyta; Magnoliopsida; Rosales; Rosaceae. The transcript has 4 exons. The record is from RefSeq and is a predicted model, not a curated record.